This 97-nucleotide microRNA precursor is filed under the name Equus asinus (donkey). RNAcentral's name for it is "mir-544 microRNA precursor family". It matches the Rfam family "mir-544 microRNA precursor family". RNAcentral also lists the same sequence under 1 other name. Lineage: Eukaryota; Metazoa; Chordata; Mammalia; Perissodactyla; Equidae. The record is from Rfam by way of RNAcentral.
AUCCCUAGGGAUCUUGUUAAAAAUGCAGAUUCUGAUUCAGUGGUCGGGUGUGGGGUUAAAAAUUCUGCAUUUGUAACAAGCUCCCAAGUGAUACUGA